UUAGUCAUAUGCUUGUCUCAAAGAUUAAGCCAUGCAUGUCUAAGUAUAAGCAAUUAUACCGUGAAACUGCGAAUGGCUCAUUAAAUCAGUUAUCGUUUAUUUGAUAGUACUUUACUACUUGGAUAACCGUGGUAAUUCUAGAGCUAAUACAUGCUGAAAACCCCAACUUCGGGAGGGGUGUAUUUAUUAGAUAAAAAACCAACGCCCUUCGGGGCUUCUUGGUGAUUCAUGAUAACUUCACGGAUCGCAUGGCCUUGCGCCGGCGACGGUUCAUUCAAAUUUCUGCCCUAUCAACUUUCGAUGGUAAGGUAUUGGCUUACCAUGGUUUCAACGGGUAACGGGGAAU
Molecule: ribosomal RNA, 346 nt
Filed under: uncultured fungus
Lineage: Eukaryota; Fungi
Description: SSU rRNA
Rfam family: Eukaryotic small subunit ribosomal RNA
Source: RNAcentral